Molecule: ribosomal RNA, 521 nt
Filed under: uncultured bacterium
Lineage: Bacteria
Description: partial 16S ribosomal RNA
Rfam family: Bacterial small subunit ribosomal RNA
Source: RNAcentral
AUUGAACGCUGGCGGCAGGCCUAACACAUGCAAGUCGAGCGGAUGAAGGGAGCUUGCUCCUGGAUUCAGCGGCGGACGGGUGAGUAAUGCCUAGGAAUCUGCCUGGUAGUGGGGGAUAACGUCCGGAAACGGGCGCUAAUACCGCAUACGUCCUGAGGGAGAAAGUGGGGGAUCUUCGGACCUCACGCUAUCAGAUGAGCCUAGGUCGGAUUAGCUAGUUGGUGGGGUAAAGGCCUACCAAGGCGACGAUCCGUAACUGGUCUGAGAGGAUGAUCAGUCAGGUGAGAACAGAGACACGGAUCAGGCUGGAAGGGGAGGGGGGAGAGGGAAAGAUGGGAACGAGGGCGAAAGCAUCACCCGACGAGGCCGUGGUUGGGAAAGAGGUUUUGGUAUUUGAAAGCACGUGGAGGGGGGGGGAGGGGCAGUAAGUUAAUCCCUUUUUGUUUUGACGUUACCAACAGAACAAGCGACGGCUAAUGUCGUGCAAGCAGCGGGGGUAAUAGAAGCGCCCACGUCUGAAC